AAUAGUAUUUCAUAAUUAAAAACAUCAUCAUCACCGUCACCAUCAUAUUAAUCAUCAUAAUCAUCAGCUGUACAACUUGAAUGAUGACCUGAACACACACACACACACACACACACACACACACACACACACACACUCACAAAACAGAAAAAAAUAUACACUCAUUAAUAUUUUUUUCAUGUAACUUUAUUAUUCACACAGAUCUGAAUAAUAAUAAUAAUAAUAAUAAUAAUAAUAAUAAUAAUAAUAAUAAUAAUAAUAAUAAAAAUAAUAAUGUGCAAAAUUACAAUCAAUCAUUUUUUUUUUAAUAGAAUCAUUUGGUUGGACUUAAUAUUAAUACAAGCUUAAAAAAUUAUAGUAUUAAUGCCAAUACUAAUAAUAAAAAUAAUGAUAAUAAUGAUAAUAAUAGUUGUAAUUGGUAUCAUUAAUAUUUGAAAAGGUAUAAUCACAGCAAAAUUGAAAUAGCACAGGUGACCUUAUUAUAAUCUGCCUUAAUUAACUCUCUCUCACACACACACACACACACACACACACACACACAAUUCUUAAACAAUAUCAAAUCAGACUUCCUUCUCUUUUUUUUAUUUUCUUCUUUUUCUUCAUCUUUUUCUUCCCUAUUCAUAUAACAUCAAACUUCCUCCUCCUUCUCUUCUCCUUCUUUUUCUUCAUUUUUUUCAUCUUUUUCUUCCCUCCCUCACCAAUUUCCUCCUCUUCUCCUCCUCCUUUUUCUUCAUCUUUUUCUUCCCUCCCUCACCAAUUUCCUCCUCUUCUCCUCCUCCUUUUUCUUCAUCUUUUCUUUUUCUGUAAUCAUUUUCUUCCUUCCCUCACUAAUUUCCUCCUCUCCUCCUCCUCCUCCUUUUUCUUCCUUUUCUUCAUCUUUUUCUUCCCUCCCUCACCAAUUUCCUCCUCUUCUCCUCCUCCUUUUUCUUCAUUUUCUUCUAUUUCUUGAUCUUUUUCUUCUUCUGUGAUAAUUUUCUUCCCUCCCUCACCAAUCUCCUCCUCUUCUCCUCCUUUUCUUCAUUUUCUUCAUCUUUUUCUUCUUCCAUAAUAAUUUUCUUUCCUCCCUUAUCAAUUUCCUCCUCUUCUCCUCCUUUUUCUUCAUUUUCUUCAUCUUCUUCCGUAAACAUCUUCCUCCCUCCCUUACUAACACUAAUUACUCGGACAUAAUUUGGUUCAUUUGUGUGACUGUGGGAAUGUAACUAUCAAUAAUAAUAAUAAUAAUAAUAAUAAUAAUAAUAAUAAUAAUAAUAAUAAUAAUAAUAAUAAGACACUAAUCAAUGGUGUCAGAAAUUUGUGCGGAUUUCAGAUUUUUUGUUUUUUUGUUUUGUCUUCUUUUCAAAUUAUAAAUAAAUGCAAACAAACAAACAAACAAACAAACAAACCAAAAUCUUGAACCGGGAAAUCAAGAAAAAGAGAGGAAAGUAGAGGAGAGGAAAAGAAGGGGAAAGAAAAGAGGAAAGGAGAAGAGGAGGAGGAGGAAAAGAAAGUAGGUGAGAGAGGAGAGGAGAGGAAAGAAAAGAGGAGGAGGAGAAGAGAGGAGAGGAGAGGAAAAUAGGAAAGGAGAAGAGGAGAAGGAGGAGGAAAAGAAAGAAGAGGAGAGAGAAGAGAGUUAGAGGAAAGGAGAAGAGAAGGAGGAGGAGGAAAAGAAAGAAAAGAGGAGAGAGAAGAGAAGAGAGGAAAAGAGGAGGAGAGGAAAAGAGAGAAGAGGAGAAUGUAGAGGAGAGAAAAAGGAGAAUAAGGAAAGUCGAGAGGAAAGGAAAGAAGAGAAGGAGAGAGAGAGAGAAGAGGAAUGGAGAGAAGAGGAGGAAAGAGUAGAGGAAAAGAAUGUAGAUGAUUAAAAAGGAAAGCAGAGAAGAGAAAGCAAAGUAAGUAUAAAAGCCAAAGUAAACUCUAUAAAAAUCCCAAGCCAUGAAAAUAUACCAACUAAUAACAAAACUCUAUAAAUAUCGCGUCUUUUUGUUCAUGCGCUCAUUUUUUGUUCAUAAUCGCUCAAUCUCUUUAUUGCAUCAUGAACUCUCCCUUCCAUUCCUAAGCAUUCUUCUGCUCUCUAAUGUACGCUCCUUUCUCCUCCUUUCCCUUCAAAUCAACUACUGUAUUAUCCUUGAAUUAUCUCCUUUCCUCUUAUCUCCAAUCAACGUUCCCUUUCCUUUCCUGCGUCGGGACCCAGAAGAACGAACAGAGGAAUGACCACGCCUACUGGGUAUCUAUUUUCUGUAUUUGGGUCUGGGUAUUUUCCGUAACCCUCCUUGUCAGUGCUUGUCUUAUCAGAUGUUUACGACUUUGUAUAUCUGACUAAUUGCUUUCCUUCCCUUUCCUGUCAUGUUUACAAUUCUCUUCAACUCAUCUGCAAUCAACGUUUCCUUGCCUUUCUUGUCCGGUUAACUCUCCGCUCUCUUCCUUUCCGCUCUUCAACUCAUCUCUAAUCAAUGUUUCCUUUCCUUUCCUGUCCGGUUAAUUCUCCACUCUCUUCCUUUCCGCUCUUCAACUCAUCUCUAAUCAAUGUUUCCUUUCCUUUGCUGUCCGGUUAACUCUCCGCUCUCUUCCUUUCCGCUCUUCAACUCAUCUCCAAUCAGCGUUUCCUUUCCUUUCCUGUCCAGUUAGCAAUCCACUCUCUUCCUUUCCGCUCUUCAACUCAUCUCCAAUCAACAUUUCCUUCCUUUCCUGUCCAGUUAACUCUCCCCUCUCUUCCUUUCCGCUCUUCAAUCAAUGCCUUUCCCUUCCUCUCCUCUCGUGUGUGUUGUUGAGCUUAAUAGUAACAUAACAGGUGAAUUGGAAGGUGUAAAGUGCUGUUAAUCGUAAGGUAAACGUAGGUGCUGUCAACGGUAAGGUGGAAAAAGGUACGUAGAAGAUAAGGAAAUGAAAGUGCUGUAAAUCCCAAGGUCAAUUAAGGUGCUGACAACGGUAAGGUGGAAAAAGGUACUGAGAAUAUAAGGAAAUCAAAGUGCUGUAAAUUCUAAGGUAAAUGAACACACUCUAGCUUGUAAGGUGUGAAUGGUAAGGUCAACGAAGGUACUGUCCACCCAAAAAAGUCUAAAUACUGGACUUAAAAGAUAUUAACACCAUUGGGGACUUUGAGCGCCGCCGGUACCAGCUCCCAAGCAACAAACUAACUAACCAAAAUAUGAAUAAAGAAAUAAAUGAAUGAAAAAUAUAUGAAAGCAUGAAGCAGAUUAUUCAUGAUCAAACUAAAUACAUGAACUUGAUUUUUUACUCUUUUUUAGCUCAAUUGAAUAAUCCCAAAUAUUACUGCUACUAAAAUAAUAAUAAUAAUAAUAAUAAUAAUAAUAAUAAUAAUAAUAAUAAUAAAUCAUUCAUUAACUGUAAGUAUUCAUUAAUAUCUAACUUAAAUGCCAUGUAUGCAAAUGUUUGUUUUUAAUUCACCAACAAAAGCACACACACACACACACACACACACACACACACACACACACACACACACGCGCGCAUACACGCCUCUUUGAGAAAAUCUAAGCUAGAAACUUUGAUCUCCCUUUUCUAUUAUGGAGGUAAAAAAAAAGAAAGAAAAGAAAAGAAAAAUAGAGGUAGUGGAGGUAGAGGAUUGGGAUUGAAAUGUACAGAUGAGAAGGAAAAAAAGAAAGAAAAAGGAAGGUGGAGGAAGAGGAUUCAAGACUGCAAAAUGAGAGGUGAAAGAGGAUUGAAAUGUACAGAUGAGAAGGAAAAAAAUAGAGGUACUGGAGGUUGAGGAGGAUCAAAGAGUACAAGAUGGGAGGGAACAAAUAAGGAGAGAAAAAAAAAGGGAAAACAUUGAAACUGGAAGGAAAAGUGAGGGAAAGUGAAAGGGCUGAAUAAGGAGGAGGAAAGUAAAGGAAAGGGCAUCUUGAAUCUGGCUCUGAGAAACUUGGAAGGAGAAUAUGUAGAAAAUUAGUGAAAAUAGUCAGAAAGGAAAAUGAAAACAGUAACAGGAAAAGAGGAAAAGAGGAGAACAAGACAUACCAAACUUUACAUAUAUAUUCUUAGAUACUUGAAAAAAAAAUAAGUAAUGAAAAAAUAAGUAGAUUCAGAGGGAAAGGAAAAUGAAAACAGUAACGGGAAAAAGAGGAAAAGAGGAGAACAAGACAUACCAAACUUUACAUAUAUAUUCUUAGAUACUUGAAAAAAAAAAUAAUAAAAAAAUAAGUAGAUUCAGAGGGAAAGGAAAAUGAAAACAGUAAUGGGAAAAGAGGAAAAGAGAAGGAAAAGACAUACCAAACUUUACAUAUACAUUCUUAAGAGCUUGUAAAAGAUAAACAAAAAGAAGAGGAAAAAAAGUGUUUGAAACGGACAGACUGAUAGAGGAGGCAAUGAAACAAUAGACAGAGAGUUAGAUUGAAAAAGAAAGAUACUUAAUGCAAUAGAAAGGGCAGGCAACUUAUAUUUUGCUCUUGAGAAACCUGAGAAAACAAUAAAGAAAAGAUUAAAGAGAGAGAAAAGUUGCAUGGAAGAGGAAAAGGAAGAGAACAGUUGAACAAAAAAAAAAAAAGAUUAAAA
Long non-coding RNA from Eriocheir sinensis (Chinese mitten crab), 4488 nucleotides. RefSeq lists it as uncharacterized. Lineage: Eukaryota; Metazoa; Arthropoda; Malacostraca; Decapoda; Varunidae. The transcript has 2 exons. The record is from RefSeq and is a predicted model, not a curated record.